UUCUCCAGGCUUACUUCUUUAACCGAUCGAAAGGAGUAUACACCACCAAUUUCCCAGCGAACCCACCAGUCAAGUUUAAUUACACAGGCACACCACCUAAAAACAUAAUGUUGGACAGUGGCACCAAGGUGGUGGUGCUACCUUUUAACACUAGCGUGGAGUUGGUGAUGCAGGAUACUAGCAUCCUUGGUGCAGAAAGCCACCCUUUACAUCUUCACGGGUUCAAUUUCUUCGUGUUGGGUCAAGGUGUUGGCAACUUUGACCCCAAGAAGGACCCUGCCAAGUUCAAUCUUCGAGACCCUGCAGAGAGGAACACGGUGGGCGUGCCAUCUGGUGGGUGGGUCGCCAUUCGUUUCCUUGCAGACAAUCCUGGUGAGUUGCAUAAUUACAUUAACUCGAAUGUAAUUUACUUAUCAGAUAUGCAUAUGGACGAUGAAAUUACACUACAAAAUUUUGGUCAGAGUAGGAAGAUAUUAGUGCAUGUAUCAGAUUAGAUAGAUGCAAGGUUGUGAUCAAUCCUGACCCUGUUAGAACUGUAAAGGGCAAAAACAAAAAGAAAAGCUUGUGACAUAAAAUAGACAUUUUUCAAAAUCAACCAAAUUUGGCUGGUAACUUGGCAGAUCAUUUUACUUGGAUAAAUCAAACAGAGUUAUCGAUUUAGGUAAAUAUUCUUUCACCAUUAAUCAAAUCAAAUGUAGUUGUCUGUUUCUUUCGAUUAACUUUUGAUUGUGCAUGAAUAGGUGUCUGGUUUAUGCACUGCCAUCUGGAAGUACACACUAGCUGGGGCUUGAAGAUGGCAUGGGUUGUCAACGAUGGAAACGGCCGCAAACAGAAGCUGCUACCUCCGCCUGCCGAUCUUCCUAAAUGCUGAAAUUCGAUUGUUGCUCUCUUUCCCUUCCCUUUUUUUUUUAUACUAAUACAAUUUUACGGUAUUCGUUUUAUUCUUUUAUUUCCUAUUCUUAUGUAUGCUAGGAGAAAAGGCUGUUGGCUCUAUAGCUUAAGCUUGUAUUUGGUUCUGCUAUUACUCCAGCACCAACACCAGAAAAAGAACUGGUGUGGCUUUUUGUAUAGGUUAUCAUCAGGCUAUCUACCACCGUAAGAACUAUUGUUAUGUGACAGAAUCUACAUAAACAGAUCUCUACAAAUACAAUUUUCCUGUUCUCUCUGCUUCAUCCAGACUCCAUCCUGAAUCUUAUCAAGUUUUGCAGCUACUUAGCUCAAGUUGCUUCAAUGAAAAGAGAUGCAAUUUAUAUCCAUGUGAUCAUAAUUAUAUGGUUAUGGUGGAUCAUUAUUAUAUCCAUCCAAGCUAAACCAGUUCGUUUCAGAUGAAAUAUAACUAAUUGUAAACAAUUAACCCUCCAGUCAAAAACUUUCUUUUUUUGCCCAAAGCACUCAUUUAUUUUGUGAGUGAACAACACAGACUACUAGGAUUUAUUGGAUAUUUUCAGUAAUAAUAAUAAUAAUAAUAAUAAUAAUUGUAGGACACAAUGUCAUAUUAGAAAUAAAGAAAAAUGAAUUAUUUAAUUAAAGAAGAGAAUAAGUCUAUAAUAAUUAGACCAAAGUAGGUUAAAGUGCAAAUAAGUCAUGGAUGGGCUUUCUGAGUUUUAAUUGAUCUUGAAAUUAAUUAAAUUAAUAAUAUAUAAUUAAUAUAUUAUAAAGGUACUUGCCACUUGCAGGUAAAGAUAAAGAUAAAGAUAAUUAAAUAAUAAAUUAUAUUUAUUUUUAAUUACUAUUAUAAGUAUCUAUUGAAAAUAUACUAUUGUGAUUUUUGAAAACUAACAGUUGUAUUUGUUGGGAAUAGUCAUUUAUAUCUAUAAACACACUUUUAUCUGGUUCUAAAAGACACAUAAAAAAAAUCUCUCAUUUCUUUUUUAAUAUUCUCUAAAUUUCCUUUAUAUCAUUUUUUCCUUAAAACUAGUGACAUCGAUAUACGUUUUAAAGCCAAUUCAUUAUUUUCCAAUUUUGUAUUCUAAAAGAUUGAUCUAAAUUCUGGAGGAAUUGUUCUAUUUAGCCUCGCUUAUAGGAACAAAAUGCCCAUAUACACAUAAGAAUAAUAAUACUCUUUCAGCUGAAGAUACCAAGCAUCUAGGGUGAAUAUUAGGUUAAUUGGAUUGUAAAAUUUUGAAAAUUGAGUAAAUUAAAUUUUCAUAAAUAAUAACUGAAAAUCGAUCAAAUUAUAUUUUGAAAAAUAAUCAAAAUCAAUUUAUCUCGAUCGGUUCAAUAAAUGUUACCAUUUUUAAGUAUUUUUUUUCAACAAUUUCAACAAUAUUUUCAAUAACACUUUCAACAACAUUUUUAAUAAAGAUAAGCAAAAUUAUUUCUCUCCACAUUCUAAUCAAGAUAAAUUGGACCUUACAUCAAGAAAUAAAUAAAUCCAACAUAAUAUUUUUUACUUGACAAGUCAACUUAACAUUAAUCAAUUUUUCGAUUCGUUCAGAUUCUAAAUUUUAAAUACAAAAAAUUAAUUGAAAUACUCAAAUAACUUUUGUUGGGAAAAAAAAGGAAAGAAUAAAAAAAAGAAAAGAAAAUUAUUUUUUCUUCACUAAUGUUUUUCUCUAAAUUUAGAAGGUAGAAUGUAAAAAUAUAUUAAUUUUCUUCUGUUUCUUACCCAACAAUAGAAAAUAACCAAUUUUCAAAGGCCUGGCAAAACCAUUCCCAUGCAAUAUGUAGCACUCUAUGGAUAAUUACAGACUGCCAACAGCAAAAGCAAAAGCAGAGGCGAUUCCUACUUGGACCAACCAUUGUAAACACUUUACUUUGGUCUCAUCCAUGCGCAUUCCUAACAUGUUCGAGUUAGUGUAGGCAAGGCCAAAACAAGAGCUAGAUUUAGAUCUAUUGAGACAAGGGUGGUGCAAGAUAUGUUGCAGUAAGGUACCUAUCAGAAGCUGUUAAGGAACUUGGAGAUGUACAGUUAGGAACAACCGACAGCUAACCAGAUGGUUUAAGCACAUUCUCUUUUGGCUUGAUUAGUACGUAUUAAACGGUAGGAGGUUGAAGGCUACCCAGCACCCAUGCCCACAUUACCCCCCUUUUCUAAUAAAUGGAUUCAUCAAUCCUUUUCCAACCUUCCUUUUGAAGUAUAGAAUAAUUUGGAUUUUAGUCCUACUGGAACCAUAAAACUUUGUUUUAAAAACUAAUUACCUCACUUCAAAGACAAUUAUAUCCUCAGAUAUUUCCUCAUGUCCUAGGCCAAAGAAUUGAAAAUGAAUAAAAAUGGUUCAUUCCAGUCCUUAAUUAGAAAUUUAGAAUCAGUCAGUGGGUUUUGAAAGAUUUUCUGAUCAGAGAAAGAACAGCUAAUGAUGGAAAUGGACCAAUUCUUGAUUGACUGUAACAUAAACCAUUGUUUAUAUGUCUUCAUCAGGCUCAUGUCAUCUUUAAACUUCAUUAAUUUAGGGUACCUUGGAACUUUAAGAUGAGGAAUUUAUAGUUCAAAUUAGAUUUCCGUUAUGAAAAACUAGUCUGUCUUGGACAUCACUCUAAAGGGAUUCACCAGCAGCUACUCGGACCAAAUAUGCAAGUUUCUGCUGAAGACACAGCUUGUCGACAGUGAAACAGGGAUUAUCUGAAUUUUUACUCACCUAAUUAACAAACCAAUCAGUCCUUCUCCCACUAUAUAAACUGCCUCACUUGUUCCUUGUCUCAUCAUCCAAACAAGUUAUAUCCCACUUUGACCAUCCUUGUCAUUUUUGAUAGAUAAUCACAACAAAAUAUUACUAAAAGAAAACAGAAAAGAGACAUGAGUUCUGUUCUUCUUACAUCAUCAGCCUUUAUCAGGGUUUUUCUCCUAGCGUUAUGUGCUGUCUCGUUACUACCUGAUUUGGCAGUUGCAAAGCAUGCAGGCAUUACCAGGCACUACAAUUUUGAUGUAAGUUUUAAUUUCCCAUUUCUUAGGCUCUUUUAGUGUGUUUUUAAGUGUGGCUGUAGCUGAGGCUAACAUUUCCACCGCCAUUCUUCUUUCUUUUUCUUGUUAAUCUCGUAAAGAUUAGGAUGCAAAAUGUGACAAGGUUGUGCCAAACAAAGAGCAUUGUGACGGUCAAUGGCCAGUUCCCAGGGCCUCGGAUUAUAGCUAGGGAAGGCGAUCGCCUUCUCAUCAAGGUGGUUAACCAUGUUCAAUACAAUGUCACUCUUCAUUGGUAUGGGAUUUCACUUCCUACUGCUUUCUCUCUUUUAUUAAUGGUUAGCAUUUUAUUUUAAAGUUGAUCAAAUGUUGGCUUUCACUUGGGAACUAGGCAUGGAAUCCGACAGCUAAGGACUGGAUGGGCUGAUGGACCUGCCUAUAUAACUCAGUGUCCAAUUCAGACAGGACAAUCCUAUGUAUACAACUUCACCAUCACUGGCCAAAGAGGGACCUUAUUUUGGCAUGCUCACAUCUCUUGGCUAAGAGCUACUCUUUAUGGACCUAUUGUCAUCCUCCCAAAACGACAUGCCUCUUACCCAUUUCCCCAACCAUUCAAGGAAGUUCCCAUCAUUUUUGGUAAUUAACACAACUUCUCACAUCAGGCAUUGGAAGAAGAAUAAUUUUGCAUCUUGAAUUAAUUUUGAGUUUUGCCUGGAAUUGCAGGAGAGUGGUGGAAAGCAGAUACAGAAACUAUUAUCAAUCAGGCCAUGGCAACUGGAGGGGCACCGAAUAUCUCAGAUGCUUUCACCAUUAAUGGUCUCCCAGGUCCCUCUUACAACUGCUCAGCCAAAGGUACUACAUUACAUAUUCAGCGUCACUAUCGCAAGCAAUAUUUUGUCAAUUUCCAUCGGAAAGGUUCCAAUUGAGGGACACACUAAAAAAAAGUAAACUAAAUUUUAUGCAGAAACAUUCAAGCUUAAGGUGAAGCCAGGUAAAACCUAUCUUCUGCGCCUGAUCAACGCUGCACUCAAUGACGAGCUCUUUUUCAGAAUUGCAAACCACACAGUCACUGUUGUAGAAGCCGAUGCAGUCUAUGUCAAACCUUUCAAAACAGAUAUUGUUCUUAUCACUCCAGGGCAGACCACUAAUGUCCUUCUCAAGGCCAAAUCCAAGACCUCCGGGGCCAACUUUGCUCUGUCAGCCAGGCCUUAUGCCACUGGCCCUGCCACUUUUGACAAUACCACGACAAUCGGAAUUCUAGAGUAUGAGAAAUCUGCCUCUGCCUCAAACUCUAACAACAAGAAACUCCCGCUUCUAAAAGCAAAACUUCCACAGUUUAAUGACUCCACCUAUGCUAUGAAAUUCAACCAGAAAAUCCGUAGCCUCGCCACAGCUAAAUUCCCUGCUAAAGUCCCAAAAAAUGUUGAUAGGCGCUUCUUCUUCACAGUAGGACUAGGGAUACUCCCAUGCUCACAAAACCAAACUUGCCAAGGUCCCAACAACACUAGGCCAGCUGCUGCAGUCAACAAUGUUUCAUUUGUGCAACCAAAUAUUGCUCUUCUCCAGGCUCACUUCUUUAACCGAUCGAAAGGAGUAUACACCACCAAUUUCCCAGCGAACCCACCGUUCAAGUUUAAUUACAUAGGCACACCACCUAAAAACAUAAUGUUGGACAGCGGCACCAAGGUGAUGGUGCUACCUUUUAACACUAGCGUGGAGUUGGUGAUGCAGGAUACUAGCAUCCUUGGUGCAGAAAGCCACCCCUUACAUCUUCACGGAUUCAAUUUCUUUGUGUUGG
This 5636-nucleotide long non-coding RNA is filed under the name Theobroma cacao (cacao). Its description in RNAcentral is "long non-coding RNA (TCAC_LNC002823)". Lineage: Eukaryota; Viridiplantae; Streptophyta; Magnoliopsida; Malvales; Malvaceae. The record is from RNAcentral.